UACGUAGGGUGCAAGCGUUGUCCGGAAUUAUUGGGCGUAAAGAGCUCGUAGGCGGUCUGUUGCGUCGGCUGUGAAAACCCGGGGCUCAACUCCGGACCUGCAGCCGAUACGGGCAGACUAGAGUUCGGCAGGGGAGACUGGAAUUCCAGGUGUAGCGGUGAAAUGCGUAGAUAUCUGGAGGAACACCGGUGGCGAAGGCGGCGUUCUGGACUGUUUCUGACACUGAAAAACGAAAGCCAGGGGAGCAAACGGG
RNAcentral lists this ribosomal RNA (253 nucleotides) under uncultured bacterium. Its description in RNAcentral is "partial 16S ribosomal RNA". It matches the Rfam family "Bacterial small subunit ribosomal RNA", at positions 524 to 776 of the family's 1533-position model. The record is from RNAcentral.